GACGAACGCUGGUGGCGUGCUUAACACAUGCAAGUCGAACGAGACGAUUGAAAGCUUGCUUUUAAAAGUCGAGUGGCAAACGGGUGAGUAACGCGUAGACAACCUGCCUUUGAGAUGGGGACAACAGUUCGAAAGGACUGCUAAUACCGAAUGUUGUAUAUUUUCCACAUGGAAGAUAUAUUAAAGAUGGCCUCUAUUUAUAAGCUAUCGCUCAAAGAUGGGUCUGCGUCUGAUUAGCUGGUUGGUGGGGUAACGGCCUACCAAGGCGACGAUAAGUAGCCGGUCUGAGAGGAUGAACGGCCACAUUGGGACUGAGACACGGCCCAGACUCCUACGGGAGGCAGCAGUGGGGAAUCUUCCACAAUGGACGAAAGUCUGAUGGAGCAACGCCGCGUGAGUGAAGAAGGGUUUCGGCUCGUAAAGCUCUGUUGUCGGGGACGAAUGUGCAGUAUUUGAAUAAAGUACUGCAAUGACGGUACCUGACGAGAAAGCCACGGCUAACUACGUGCCAGCCGCCGCAGUAA
This 524-nucleotide ribosomal RNA is filed under the name uncultured bacterium. Its description in RNAcentral is "partial 16S ribosomal RNA". It matches the Rfam family "Bacterial small subunit ribosomal RNA", at positions 28 to 523 of the family's 1533-position model. The record is from RNAcentral.